This 547-nucleotide ribosomal RNA is filed under the name uncultured Glomeromycotina. RNAcentral's name for it is "SSU rRNA". It matches the Rfam family "Eukaryotic small subunit ribosomal RNA", at positions 548 to 1098 of the family's 1831-position model. The record is from RNAcentral. Lineage: Eukaryota; Fungi; Glomeromycota.
UUGGAGGGCAAGUCUGGUGCCAGCAGCCGCGGUAAUUCCAGCUCCAAUAGCGUAUAUUAAAGUUGUUGCAGUUAAAAAGCUCGUAGUUGAAUUUCGGGGUUAGUAGGUUGGUCAUGCCUCUGGUAUGUACUGGUCUCACUGAUUCCUCCUUCCUGAUGAGCCGUAAUGCCAUUAAUUUGGUGUUGCGGGGAAUUUGGACUGUUACUUUGAAAAAAUUAGAGUGUUUAAAGCAAGCUAACGCUUGAAUACAUUAGCAUGGAAUAAUGAAAUAGGACGUUCGAUCCUAUUUUGUUGGUUUCUAGGAUUGACGUAAUGAUUAAUAGGGAUAGUUGGGGGCAUUAGUAUUCAAUUGUCAGAGGUGAAAUUCUUGGAUUUAUUGAAGACUAACUACUGCGAAAGCAUUUGCCAAGGAUGUUUUCAUUAAUCAAGAACGAAAGUUAGGGGAUCGAAGACGAUCAGAUACCGUCGUAGUCUUAACCAUAAACUAUGCCGACUAGGGAUCGGAUGAUGUUAUUUUUAAUGACUCAUUCGGCGCCUUACGGGAAAC